Molecule: ribosomal RNA, 492 nt
Filed under: uncultured bacterium
Lineage: Bacteria
Description: partial 16S ribosomal RNA
Rfam family: Bacterial small subunit ribosomal RNA
Source: RNAcentral
AGUGAACGCUGGCGGUAGGCCUAACACAUGCAAGUCGAACGGCAGCACAUUACUUGCUUGCUCUUCUGGGUGGCGACUGGCGGACGGGUGUUGAAUACAUCCGUAUCUACUUUUUCGUGCGUGUUAACGUAGGGACACUUACGCUAUUCCCCCAUCCGACCUACGGGUGAAAGCAUCGGAUCUUCGGCCCUUGCGCGAUUCAAUGAGCCGAUGUCGGAUUAGCUGGUUGGCGGGGUAAAGGCCCACCAAGCCGACGAUCCGUAGCUGGUCUGAGAGGAUGAUCAGCCACACUGGAACUGAGACACGGUCCAGACUCCUAGGGGAGGAAGAAGGGGGGAAUAUGGGAAAAGGGGGGAAAGCCGGAUCAAGCCAGACCGGGUGGGGGAAGAAGGCCUUCGGGUGUUAAAGACCUUUUGUGGGGAAAGAAAAGCAGAAGGUAAAAAUCCCGCAGAGUUGACGGUACUCAAAGAAUAAGCACCGGCUAACUUCGUG